RNAcentral lists this ribosomal RNA (810 nucleotides) under Diptacus aceris. Its description in RNAcentral is "bacterial SSU rRNA". It matches the Rfam family "Eukaryotic small subunit ribosomal RNA", at positions 389 to 910 of the family's 1831-position model. The record is from RNAcentral. Lineage: Eukaryota; Metazoa; Arthropoda; Arachnida; Trombidiformes; Diptilomiopidae.
ACAAGCCUGAGAAACGGCUAGUAGGAUAAGGUCUGCAGCAGGCGCGAAACUUACACAAUGCUAGAUUACAAUUAGCGAUGUAGUGAAGAAAAAUAACGAUGUACUUCCUUUUAAACAAGGUAGUACAAUUGGAAUGAGACGACUAUAAACCAGUUAGUCGAGUAACAAAUGGAGGGCAAGUCUGGUGCCAGCAGCCGCGGUAAUUCCAGCUCCAUUAGCAUACAUUAAAGUUGUUGCGGUUAAAAAGCUCGUAGUUGAAUUUUAGGCGGGCUCUAUUGGGAUGCAAUCGUUAAGGUCCACUAGCUUCGGUUAGCUGGAUUGGUUGUCAUCGCCCUAUAGGAACCCGCUGUUUCGUCACUUAAUCGAGUGCGAAGCGGGCUGGUACAAGUUAAAACUUCGUUUUAUCUGUUUCAGCAUGUUUACCUUGAGAAAAUUAGAGUGCUCACAGCAGGCAGUUGGGGUGUAAAAGCUCCUUUAUGCUUGAAUAAUGUUGCAUGGAAUAAUAGAAUACGGCCUCGGUUCUAUUCUGUUGGUCUUAUAGAACAACAAACAAGUUGGUUAAAGCGAUCAAAAGUCUCUUUGCGGGUGUGGUUCAUCUGGUCGCUUUAUAGUUGCUGGCUCUACUAGUCACCGGUUGUGUUACCUGGGGCCUUAAAAUCUCAGCGUCGCACUGGCCUAUGUAAGCCUUCUUUACUAUUUAGCAAACCUAAUGUUCCAUUUAAAGCAUCCCUAAGCUGGCUAGCUUUCUAAUCAACUGAGGCAAUGGUUAAAAGAAAUAGUCGCGGCGGCAUCAGUACUGCAUCGUGAGAG